UCAAGGGGUGUGUUAUAGGCAGGUAGA
This 27-nucleotide non-coding RNA is filed under the name Rattus norvegicus (Norway rat). The record is from RNAcentral. Lineage: Eukaryota; Metazoa; Chordata; Mammalia; Rodentia; Muridae.